Molecule: ribosomal RNA, 253 nt
Filed under: uncultured bacterium
Lineage: Bacteria
Description: partial 16S ribosomal RNA
Rfam family: Bacterial small subunit ribosomal RNA
Source: RNAcentral
UACGAAGGGGGCUAGCGUUGCUCGGAUUGACUGGGCGUAAAGGGCGCGUAGGCGGAUAGUACAGUCAGGCGUGAAAUUCCUGGGCUCAACCUGGGGGCUGCGUUUGAUACGUAUUGUCUGGAGUUCAGAAGAGGGUCGUGGAAUUCCCAGUGUAGAGGUGAAAUUCGUAGAUAUUGGGAAGAACACCGGUGGCGAAGGCGGCGACCUGGUCCGAUACUGACGCUGAGGCGCGAAAGCGUGGGGAGCAAACAGG